UCAGGUAACACUGAAUGGAGGACCGAACCGACUUACGUUGAAAAGUGAGCGGAUGAACUGAGGGUAGCGGAGAAAUUCCAAUCGAACCUGGAGAUAGCUGGUUCUCUCCGAAAUAGCUUUAGGGCUAGCCUCAAGUGAUGAUUAUUGGAGGUAGAGCACUGUUUGGACGAGGGGCCCCUCUCGGGUUACCGAAUUCAGACAAACUCCGAAUGCCAAUUAAUUUAACUUGGGAGUCAGAACAUGGGUGAUAAGGUCCGUGUUCGAAAGGGAAACAGCCCAGACCACCAGCUAAGGUCCCAAAAUAUAUGUUAAGUGGAAAAGGAUGUGGCGUUGCCCAGACAACUAGGAUGUUGGCUUAGAAGCAGCCAUCAUUUAAAGAGUGCGUAAUAGCUCACUAGUCGAGUGACACUGCGCCGAAAAUGUACCGGGGCUAAACAUAUUACCGAAGCUGUGGAUUGUCCUUUGGACAAUGGUAGGAGAGCGUUCUAAGGGCGUUGAAGCAUGAUCGUAAGGACAUGUGGAGCGCUUAGAAGUGAGAAUGCCGGUGUGAGUAGCGAAAGACGGGUGAGAAUCCCGUCCACCGAUUGACUAAGGUUUCCAGAGGAAGGCUCGUCCGCUCUGGGUUAGUCGGGUCCUAAGCUGAGGCCGACAGGCGUAGGCGAUGGAUAACAGGUUGAUAUUCCUGUACCACCUAUAAUCGUUUUAAUCGAUGGGGGGACGCAGUAGGAUAGGCGAAGCGUGCGAUUGGAUUGCACGUCUAAGCAGUAAGGCUGAGUAUUAGGCAAAUCCGGUACUCGUUAAGGCUGAGCUGUGAUGGGGAGAAGACAUUGUGUCUUCGAGUCGUUGAUUUCACACUGCCGAGAAAAGCCUCUAGAUAGAAAAUAGGUGCCCGUACCGCAAACCGACACAGGUAGUCAAGAUGAGAAUUCUAAGGUGAGCGAGCGAACUCUCGUUAAGGAACUCGGCAAAAUGACCCCGUAACUUCGGGAGAAGGGGUGCUCUUUAGGGUUAACGCCCAGAAGAGCCGCAGUGAAUAGGCCCAAGCGACUGUUUAUCAAAAACACAGGUCUCUGCUAAACCGUAAGGUGAUGUAUAGGGGCUGACGCCUGCCCGGUGCUGGAAGGUUAAGAGGAGUGGUUAGCUUCUGCGAAGCUACGAAUCGAAGCCCCAGUAAACGGCGGCCGUAACUAUAACGGUCCUAAGGUAGCGAAAUUCCUUGUCGGGUAAGUUCCGACCCGCACGAAAGGCGUAACGAUUUGGGCACUGUCUCAACGAGAGACUCGGUGAAAUCAUAGUACCUGUGAAGAUGCAGGUUACCCGCGACAGGACGGAAAGACCCCGUGGAGCUUUACUGUAGCCUGAUAUUGAAAUUCGGCACAGCUUGUACAGGAUAGGUAGGAGCCUUUGAAACGUGAGCGCUAGCUUACGUGGAGGCGCUGGUGGGAUACUACCCUAGCUGUGUUGGCUUUCUAACCCGCACCACUUAUCGUGGUGGGAGACAGUGUCAGGCGGGCAGUUUGACUGGGGCGGUCGCCUCCUAAAAGGUAACGGAGGCGCUCAAAGGUUCCCUCAGAAUGGUUGGAAAUCAUUCAUAGAGUGUAAAGGCAUAAGGGAGCUUGACUGCGAGACCUACAAGUCGAGCAGGGUCGAAAGACGGACUUAGUGAUCCGGUGGUUCCGCAUGGAAGGGCCAUCGCUCAACGGAUAAAAGCUACCCCGGGGAUAACAGGCUUAUCUCCCCCAAGAGUUCACAUCGACGGGGAGGUUUGGCACCUCGAUGUCGGCUCAUCGCAUCCUGGGGCUGUAGUCGGUCCCAAGGGUUGGGCUGUUCGCCCAUUAAAGCGGUACGCGAGCUGGGUUCAGAACGUCGUGAGACAGUUCGGUCCCUAUCCGUCGUGGGCGUAGGAAAUUUGAGAGGAGCUGUCCUUAGUACGAGAGGACCGGGAUGGACAUACCUCUGGUGUACCAGUUGUCGUGCCAACGGCAUAGCUGGGUAGCUAUGUGUGGACGGGAUAAGUGCUGAAAGCAUCUAAGCAUGAAGCCCCCCUCAAGAUGAGAUUUCCCAACUUCGGUUAUAAGAUCCCUCAAAGAUGAUGAGGUUAAUAGGUUCGAGGUGGAAGCAUGGUGACAUGUGGAGCUGACGAAUACUAAUCGAUCGAAGACUUAAUCAA
RNAcentral lists this ribosomal RNA (2170 nucleotides) under Staphylococcus aureus. RNAcentral describes it as "partial 23S ribosomal RNA". It matches the Rfam family "Bacterial large subunit ribosomal RNA", at positions 752 to 2925 of the family's 2925-position model. Lineage: Bacteria; Bacillati; Bacillota; Bacilli; Caryophanales; Staphylococcaceae. The record is from RNAcentral.